RNAcentral lists this unclassified non-coding RNA (991 nucleotides) under Melitaea cinxia (Glanville fritillary). RNAcentral's name for it is "misc RNA ENSMCXG00005000551.1". Lineage: Eukaryota; Metazoa; Arthropoda; Insecta; Lepidoptera; Nymphalidae. The record is from RNAcentral.
UUGAAUUUCCAUAGAGAGUUGCCGCAGAAAGAUGCAAUAUUCCGACCAAAUAUUCUUAGCAACAUUACAGGCACACAUGAAGGUUAUAAUGUAAAUAAGUACAUCUAAUACUAAUACUUUAAUAAAAACUUUGACGCCUCAAAGAAAAGGCAGUAGUUUUAGUAAAGACGACCCAAAUAAGUAACAUCACUUUCUUAUCAAAGUUAUAUAACUCUCAGCUCAACAGCUUCAAAAAUGAAGGAAGAGGAAAGUUGAAGAAUAUAAAAACAUUACAAAAGAAUAAGGUAUAUUUAAAUAGUGGGUUAAAACAAAAACACUAAAUGACAAUUUGUGGCGAAACUUUUGACGAAGACUGGAUGUAAUGCUAAAAAGUUCAACAUUGAGUUCAUGAGGCAUUUAAUUUGAUUGAUUGAUUAAUUGGUUAUAUGGCUUUCAGUAGUGUCAGGGGAAAAAUUUAAAUGCCGAUUAUUUGUAUCAGAUACCUGCAUAUGUGACAUUUUUGUUACGAAAUAUCGAUCCGACAGCUAAAUAUUGUGGUGGCCGAAGCUACCCGCCACGAUUUUAGAGAAGCCGAAAAUAAGCUAAUAUUUAAAAAAAAAUAUUUGUAUAUUAGAUUAAAAUAUAUGUCAGAGAUAAGUUUGGGUAGUUUAGAUUUUUACAAAUUUAUUUGGGACAUAAUUAUACUAAAAAAAGGCCGGGCUACCCCCCUUUCUCCGAAGUUCUUGGCAUUGGCAACUAUUUUAAGAUUUACAUACUUAAUUUUCCGCUGUUUAAGAGUUUUUUCUAUUUUUAUGUAAAUUUAUAUUUAUUAUUGUAUAUUAAAUUUUUUAAUUCCUGUAUUUCUAUUGAAAUGUACUUUAGUUUUGAUAACGUAAAUUUAAAACAAAACGAAUGAAAGUAGUUUUUGGGAUGAUCUUUCUAAAACGUAUUCUUUCAAAAUGUAAAUAUGCUAUAAUAAAUAUGAUUUGUUGCCGAAUAAAGGGCGUUAUAA